This 253-nucleotide ribosomal RNA is filed under the name uncultured bacterium. RNAcentral's name for it is "partial 16S ribosomal RNA". It matches the Rfam family "Bacterial small subunit ribosomal RNA", at positions 524 to 776 of the family's 1533-position model. The record is from RNAcentral.
UACGAAGGGGGCUAGCGUUGUUCGGAAUUACUGGGCGUAAAGCGCACGCAGGCGGAUUGAUUAGUCGGGGGUGAAAUCCCGGGGCUCAACCUCGGAAUUGCCUUCGAUACUGUCAGUCUUGAGUCCGGGAGAGGUGAGUGGAAUUCCUAGUGUAGAGGUGAAAUUCGUAGAUAUUAGGAAGAACACCAGUGGCGAAGGCGGCUCACUGGCCCGGUACUGACGCUCAUGUGCGAAAGCGUGGGGAGCAAACAGG